This 241-nucleotide unclassified non-coding RNA is filed under the name uncultured fungus. RNAcentral's name for it is "sequence contains ITS2". The record is from RNAcentral. Lineage: Eukaryota; Fungi.
AACGCACAUUGCGCCCCUUGGUAUUCCAUGGGGCAUGCCUGUUCGAGCGUCAUUUGUACCCUCAAGCUAUGCUUGGUGUUGGGUGAUUGUCCACUAGGACUCGCCUUAAAGACAUUGGCAGCCAGUAUUUUGGUAGAAAAGCGCAGCACAUUUUGCGAUUUUACUCCAGUAAUAUUAGCACCCAUUAAGCUCAAUUAUCACUUUUGACCUCGGAUCAGGUAGGGAUACCCGCUGAACUUAA